This 217-nucleotide ribosomal RNA is filed under the name Campeiostachys nutans. RNAcentral's name for it is "Elymus nutans partial small subunit ribosomal RNA". The stretch from base 94 to 217 matches the Rfam family "Eukaryotic small subunit ribosomal RNA", at positions 738 to 864 of the family's 1831-position model. Lineage: Eukaryota; Viridiplantae; Streptophyta; Magnoliopsida; Poales; Poaceae. The record is from RNAcentral.
GGCCUGGCUGGACGGUCCGCCCUUCGGGUGAGUACUGUCUGUGGUCGGGUCCUACCUUCUGGCGAAGCGUCAUGGCCUUGACCGGCCGUGGCGGGGAACCAGGACUUUUACUGUGAAAAAAUUAGAGUGUUCAAAGCAGGCCUUUGCUCGAAUACAUUAGCAUGGAAUAAUAGAAUAGGACAUCGGUACUAUUUUGUUGGUUUCUAGGACCGCUGUA